Molecule: ribosomal RNA, 253 nt
Filed under: uncultured bacterium
Lineage: Bacteria
Description: partial 16S ribosomal RNA
Rfam family: Bacterial small subunit ribosomal RNA
Source: RNAcentral
GACAGAGGGUGCAAACGCUGUUCGGAUUUACUGGGCGUAAAGCGCGUGUAGGCGGCUUCGUAAGUUGGAUGUGAAAUCCCACGGCUCAACCGUGGACGUGCAUCCAAAACUACGUCGCUGGAGUCUCGGAGAGGAAGGUGGAAUGCUUGGUGUAGCGGUGAAAUGCGCAGAUAUCAGGAAGAACACCCGUGGCGAAGGCGGCUCUCUGGAACGCAACUGACGCUGAGACGCGAAAGCGUGGGGAGCAAACAGG